GAGGAGUUAGUUAAUUAUAACCCCGCUUUGUCAAAGCGAAGUAAUGAGUUAAAACCUCAUACCCCUCU
Molecule: transfer RNA, 68 nt
Filed under: Leptodactylus melanonotus (black-backed frog)
Lineage: Eukaryota; Metazoa; Chordata; Amphibia; Anura; Leptodactylidae
Description: tRNA-Asp
Rfam family: tRNA
About the family: Transfer RNA (tRNA) molecules are approximately 80 nucleotides in length. Their secondary structure includes four short double-helical elements and three loops (D, anti-codon, and T loops).
Source: RNAcentral